GGGCUCGUUAGACUCCGUUUGUCGUCGUGGACCUUGUUGUGGGCUCAAUGUAGAUCAAAUCUGGAGACGUUAAAUUCUAAUAUGCUCUUCACAUCCUUCGGUCAUCACCGCCCCUUCGUCACUCCUCAACGCAGCCUCUUCUUCCCUCUGAUGUAUAUCACUGCCCGCACUGCCCCCGUCCGCGUCCACCUUGAACACCCUCCCCGGGCUUCCCUACAGCGCCAGCAGAAACCCCGGCUCCCGGGGGCCCUUCAUUGUAAAAAUUUUGGGCUUCGGGCCAUACGAGAUCCAAACUUCAGUUAAAAUUCCAGGCCACGCCGUCUUGACCGGCCCGAGUAGACCCGAUCUUCUCCCCCAAUGCAAAACGAGAUAGAAGGGAAGAGAUGGCAUGAGGAAGGAGAGAAGAGAGGAGAGAUGCAUUGAUAUGUGCGCGCGCGCGCGUGAGAGAGAGAAAGAGAGAGAGAGACGGGGAUCGAGGGGAGAGAGGUUGGGAAGGAGAGGAGAUUGAGAGAGAGAGAGAGAGAGAGAGAGAGAGAGAGAGAGNNNNNNNNNNNNNNNNNNNNAGAGAGAGAGAGAGAGAGAGAGAGAGAGAGAGAGAGAGAGAGAGAGCGCCAGCCGAGAGAAAGAUCGGGAGGUAGAGAGAGAUGGAGAGGGAGAAGAGAACAGGGAAGAGAGAGAGGGAUAGAGCAGAGAGGGGAGAGAGAACGUUGUCUGGCUGCGAGAGAGAGGAACGGGCGCAACAAGGUGGGCUUAGUUUCGAGCUAAUAUCGGGCCGAGGCGAGUCCUGAGCCCAACAUGGAAUUUUGCGGCCUUGAUGUCAACUCCCAGCCGGACCUGAUCUUAUCGGGCUCAGCCCAAAGGAUUAGACGAAACCAUCCUGGCCAGAAAGCUCUCGAGCCAGCUUGAGCCCAUUUCUGAUCCUACCCAC
RNAcentral lists this long non-coding RNA (928 nucleotides) under Elaeis guineensis (African oil palm). RNAcentral's name for it is "long non-coding RNA (EGUI_LNC000898)". The record is from RNAcentral. Lineage: Eukaryota; Viridiplantae; Streptophyta; Magnoliopsida; Arecales; Arecaceae.